Molecule: ribosomal RNA, 305 nt
Filed under: uncultured bacterium
Lineage: Bacteria
Description: bacterial SSU rRNA
Rfam family: Bacterial small subunit ribosomal RNA
Source: RNAcentral
CGGGUCCUACGGGGGGCAGCAGUGGGGGAUAUUGCACAAUGGGGGAAACCCUGAUGCAGCAACGCCGCGUGAGUGAAGAAGUAUUUCGGUAUGUAAAGCUCUAUCAGCAGGGAAGAGAAUGACGGUACCUGACUAAGAAGCCCCGGCUAACUACGUGCCAGCAGCCGCGGUAAUACGUAGGGGGCGAGCGUUAUCCGGAUUUACUGGGUGUAAAGGGAGCGUAGACGGCUGGUCAAGUCUGAAGUGGAAGCCCGGGGCGUAACCCCGGAACGGCUUUGGAAACUGAGCAGCUAGAGGGGUGGAGG